GACGAACGCUGGCGGCGUGGAUUAGGCAUGCAAGUCGAACGGUAUCAUCCUUUCGGGGGUGAGAGAGUGGCGAACUGGUGAGUAACACGUAGGUUAUCUACCCUCAAGACGGGGACAACCCAGGGAAACUUGGGCUAAUACCGGAUGUGAGCAACUUUUAGUUGUUUGAAAGGUGGCGUAAGCUGUCGCUUGGGGAUGAGCCUGCGUCCUAUUAGUUAGUUGGUGAGGUAACGGCUCACCUAGGCAAUGAUAGGUAGGCGGCCUUAACGGGUGGUCGCCCACACUGGGAUUGAGAUACGGCCCAGACUCCUACGGGAGGCAGCAGUCGAGAAUAGUCUACAAUGGUCGGAAGACUGAUAGUGCGACGCCGCGUGAACGAUGAAUCCCUUCGGGGUGUAAAGUUCUUUUAUAUGUGAGCAGUGCUUCUUAUAUUAACAGUAUGGGGAAGAGAGAUAUUAGCAUAUGAAUAAGCAACGGCUAACUCCGUGCCAGCAGCCGCGGUAAAACG
This 508-nucleotide ribosomal RNA is filed under the name uncultured bacterium. Its description in RNAcentral is "bacterial SSU rRNA". It matches the Rfam family "Bacterial small subunit ribosomal RNA", at positions 28 to 527 of the family's 1533-position model. The record is from RNAcentral.